Molecule: transfer RNA, 72 nt
Organism: Hyphomicrobium sp. MC1
Lineage: Bacteria; Pseudomonadati; Pseudomonadota; Alphaproteobacteria; Hyphomicrobiales; Hyphomicrobiaceae
Rfam family: tRNA
About the family: Transfer RNA (tRNA) molecules are approximately 80 nucleotides in length. Their secondary structure includes four short double-helical elements and three loops (D, anti-codon, and T loops). Further hydrogen bonds mediate the characteristic L-shaped molecular structure. tRNAs have two regions of fundamental functional importance: the anti-codon, which is responsible for specific mRNA codon recognition, and the 3' end, to which the tRNAs corresponding amino acid is attached (by aminoacyl-tRNA synthetases). tRNAs cope with the degeneracy of the genetic code in two manners: having more than one tRNA (with a specific anti-codon) for a particular amino acid; and 'wobble' base-pairing, i.e. permitting non-standard base-pairing at the 3rd anti-codon position.
Source: Rfam
GCUCCCUUCGUCUAUCGGUUAGGACGUCAGAUUUUCAAUCUGAAAAGACGGGUUCGACUCCCGUAGGGAGCG